RNAcentral lists this ribosomal RNA (425 nucleotides) under uncultured bacterium. RNAcentral's name for it is "partial 16S ribosomal RNA". It matches the Rfam family "Bacterial small subunit ribosomal RNA", at positions 354 to 796 of the family's 1533-position model. The record is from RNAcentral.
GUGGGGAAUCUUAGACAAUGGGGGCAACCCUGAUCUAGCCAUGCCGCGUGAGUGAUGAAGGCCUUAGGGUUGUAAAGCUCUUUCAGUAGGGAAGAUAAUGACGGUACCUACAGAAGAAGCCCCGGCUAACUUCGUGCCAGCAGCCGCGGUAAUACGAAGGGGGCUAGCGUUGUUCGGAUUUACUGGGCGUAAAGCGCACGUAGGCGGAUUGGUCAGUUAGAGGUGAAAUCCUGGAGCUCAACUCCAGAACUGCCUUUAAUACUGCCAGUCUAGAGUCCAGAAGAGGUGAGUGGAACUCCUAGUGUAGAGGUGGAAUUCGUAGAUAUUAGGAAGAACACCAGUGGCGAAGGCGGCUCACUGGUCUGGUACUGACGCUGAGGUGCGAAAGCGUGGGGAGCAAACAGGAUUAGAUACCCCUGUAGUCC